UUUUGAGGACAGCAUAAAAAAAGCAUGGAUGUAAUUCACAGUAAUGCAUAAUAAAACCAACAGAAAAAAUUUCAACACAACGUUUAUACUGCGCGUUAAAUUUGCCCGUGAAAUCCAAAAAUAUUGCGAUGAGCUAAAACAGGAUGGCCACACGGCCACCUCCAAAUAGUUUUUUGGCACGCUGGGAGCGUUUUUUGGAAAUAAUAUUUUCGGUUCCGUGCGCUUUGAAUGUGGCCACAUAACAUAUAAAAAACCCAGGCAAAACAAAAAUAUCGAUUGGACAGGCAUGUUCGAUCUCUCGUGGAAUCACCCUGAGGUAAUUUUUGCAUCUCUUUCAAUGUAGUUGCACCAUCAGUGUCCAAAUGUGCCAUUUAAAAAAAAAAUGCUGCCCAGAAUAUCCCGUUAACUGGAGUUGUGGUUGUGCUGCCGUGACCUAGCUUAGUGCUCUCUUUACAUACAGUAUAAACAUUCACCUUGAACAUUACGGUUGGCUUUAGAUGGAUUGUGGCAGUUCAGAAAAAUAAGUAAAAUGAAGGUUGCAAAUGCAGAGCUUAACUGCUAAGAAAGAAUGCCUGAGUUCGCCUCUUCAAAAUGGGAGCUGUUUCUUCUGCAGAAGUUUGGAUGUCAUGUUUUAAAUUCUAAAAACCUCUUCUGCGACCUUGUGCAGGUCGAUCUUGGCCCACGACUGUAAAUGGAAAACCAAAAGUGGCGGUGGCGGUGUUCUCUGUCAGAGAAACAGCAAAAGUACUAUCGCACAACGAAACAUUGCACAACUGAAGCAUCGCCUGUGCCUCAUGCUGCUGUUUCAUCAAAGAUCAAGGUCAUCGCCCUUGGAGGGACUUUAUGCAUGGCAGCAUGGUUCGAGUUCCACACGGAGAAUCCUGAAGCUAAUUCUUCCAAGGCAGAGCGGGGCAUGCUGAAAGUUAUCAGAAGGCCGAAAGAAUAAAUCGGUGGUUCAUCUGCAUGUACAACCAUCGUCAAGUGUUAUCAUGUACUGUUUUUUGCAGCUGCAUAAUAUUAAACAGUCCGAGUCUGCCCCAGCAGCCCAUAUG
Molecule: long non-coding RNA, 1052 nt
Organism: Rhipicephalus sanguineus (brown dog tick)
Lineage: Eukaryota; Metazoa; Arthropoda; Arachnida; Ixodida; Ixodidae
Exons: 2
Source: RefSeq, a predicted model, not a curated record